RNAcentral lists this long non-coding RNA (700 nucleotides) under Helianthus annuus (common sunflower). The record is from RNAcentral. Lineage: Eukaryota; Viridiplantae; Streptophyta; Magnoliopsida; Asterales; Asteraceae.
AUGCACUCUGUGAUUUAUAUAAUAGGUUAAUUAGUUAAUUCUUUUAGUUUUUGUUUGCUGGUCAAUCUAGGGUUUGGUCCCUUUACGGUGAAUCCAAACUCUUAUUUCGUAUAUAUUGAAUCCAAAUCCCUAAUGUUUGUUUUUAAAUCAAGAUUUGUUCCCCUUGCACUGAAUCAAAUCAGAUGCUCUACCAGUUCCAGGUCGUUAGCAUUUACAGAGAUCGUCUUGAAUAUUUUGGAAGCUCUUAAACCAAAUGCCUAACCCAAAGAUGGAUGUGGCUUCUACUUGACAAAAUGUCAAGAAAUUGGCUUGAAGUUAAAGAGAAGUGCAAUUGAAGCUGUUGCGGAUUCAAAGGCCUACUCACAUUUUGAUACACUUAUUCAAGUCAACCAUUGCCAUAUUAUAUAAUAUUACAUCUUCACCAUGCAAUAAUGCUCUUAUAUUUAUUAGUUUUCGGGUCAAUCAGGGCUGAUUAGGACGUCUAUUCUGCUGCAACAAGUGAGGUGCUGGUCUCUCGGCUUAUUUGUCGCUUUAUCAAGUUCGACACUUUAAAUUCGUUGAUGAUUCAUUGUUGAUUUAGCACAUUGUUUGUUGAAUUUCAAUUCGAUCUCAGGUUUCCAUCUCUUACGUCGGUGAUAAUGUAACGCCAAUUUCUUCUGCCGGCAUGAGUCGCACGUUGGAAACGGAUAAAGACAAUGAG